Molecule: long non-coding RNA, 203 nt
Filed under: Lathyrus oleraceus (garden pea)
Lineage: Eukaryota; Viridiplantae; Streptophyta; Magnoliopsida; Fabales; Fabaceae
Description: Pisum sativum (pea) long non-coding RNA (PSAT_LNC016124)
Source: RNAcentral
UACACCAUUCUUUUCUUGACCUAGUUUUGAGUUUAGUGGAUGGUGAAGCUCCUAGGAGCUUGGGAUUCAUAUUUGAGUUGUGUGAUGUUGUUCUCAUUUCAUCUCUUUGUGUAUCAACUUCAUUUUACAUUGCUCAUUUAUUUUGAUUGGACAAAGGACUCCUUAUUUGGAUGAUAUCCAUCUUUUGACUAGCUAGUUACAUU